This 912-nucleotide long non-coding RNA is filed under the name Bos indicus x Bos taurus (hybrid cattle). Its description in RNAcentral is "lncRNA (ENSBIXG00000004379.1)". Lineage: Eukaryota; Metazoa; Chordata; Mammalia; Artiodactyla; Bovidae. The record is from RNAcentral.
CACGGGGGUCCCUCAGGCCGGGCACUGCUCAGAUGUCCUUGCCAGAAGCGCCUGUGUUCUCCAGGGGACUCAGACUUGGGACAAACUGGAGACACGUGUAGCCUGAAGGGGCAAGAGCUGGGGACACAGAGGAGCCAGGGUGGCAACAGGAACGUGAGGCCUAGACUGAUGGGAUGGGUGCCACUGACGCCCAUCUGAGCUCCUGGCAUCCGGAGUUCAGUGCUGGGCGGCUGGGGAGAUCCUGCGGGCUCGGGCACACAGGAGCCGGGACUGUGCAGUCUGCUGGGUGGCAAGAGGUCAGCUUGCACGUAAGGCCCACGGCCACCCGGCGCCAGGAGGAACCCUCAAACAGGAGAAUCACUAGUGCUGAACAUCACAGAUGAGCGAGCAUCCACUGAGUUCCUGAUUUGUGCAGAUGCCGGAGGGGCCAGAAUGAGUAGGACACCACCCCUGGAGCUCCCGAACUCCUCGAGAAGAGCCCGUGGGCUUCAGAAUGACGGAGGGUUUCAAACAGCGCUGGCUGUGCGGCAGGGACUGUUUACGGGUGACCUCGCCGCUCGUUUUGCAUCACACCCAGGGGAGGGUGUUCUGCUGGCGGCUGGACAUUCUCUGAAGCUCCGUGAAAUGGAUCCUUCAUUUCAAAAAGGCGCCAACAGUUCAGCUUCCUAAACACAUCUUUUUGGAAAGGCAUCCAGGGAGCAUGAAGCUUUCAGAACUGUUCAUGCCUAACCCUCCCAGCCCUGGUGAAGGAGCCACUCUGGGUUUACCGUGUGGCCCUUACCGCUCCCCACCCCGACCCCAGCUCACCCAUCACUCCCCGAGCUCAGAGGGCUGGUGCACAAUGAACUCACAGCACCGCGACCUGAGAGGCUGGGGGUGGGGGGGUGUUGGGGAGGGGCCAGGAGGGUGGGG